This 73-nucleotide transfer RNA is filed under the name Camelus bactrianus (Bactrian camel). It matches the Rfam family "tRNA". Rfam says of the family: Transfer RNA (tRNA) molecules are approximately 80 nucleotides in length. Their secondary structure includes four short double-helical elements and three loops (D, anti-codon, and T loops). The record is from Rfam by way of RNAcentral. Lineage: Eukaryota; Metazoa; Chordata; Mammalia; Artiodactyla; Camelidae. RNAcentral also lists the same sequence under 2 other names.
GAGGGUAUAGCUCACGGGGUAGGGUGCAUGCUUAGCAUGCGUGAGGUCCUAGGUUCAAUCCCCAGUACCUCUU